GGGACACGUGGUAUCCUGUCUGAAUAUGGGGGGACCAUCCUCCAAGGCUAAAUACUCCUGACUGACCGAUAGUGAACCAGUACCGUGAGGGAAAGGCGAAAAGAACCCCGGCGAGGGGAGUGAAAAAGAACCUGAAACCGUGUACGUACAAGCAGUGGGAGCCUCUUUAUGGGGUGACUGCGUACCUUUUGUAUAAUGGGUCAGCGACUUAUAUUCUGUAGCAAGGUUAACCGAAUAGGGGAGCCGAAGGGAAACCGAGUCUUAACUGGGCGUUAAGUUGCAGGGUAUAGACCCGAAACCCGGUGAUCUAGCCAUGGGCAGGUUGAAGGUUGGGUAACACUAACUGGAGGACCGAACCGACUAAUGUUGAAAAAUUAGCGGAUGACUUGUGGCUGGGGGUGAAAGGCCAAUCAAACCGGGAGAUAGCUGGUUCUCCCCGAAAGCUAUUUAGGUAGCGCCUCGUGAAUUCAUCUCCGGGGGUAGAGCACUGUUUCGGCAAGGGGGUCAUCCCGACUUACCAACCCGAUGCAAACUGCGAAUACCGGAGAAUGUUAUCACGGGAGACACACGGCGGGUGCUAACGUCCGUCGUGAAGAGGGAAACAACCCAGACCGCCAGCUAAGGUCCCAAAGUCAUGGUUAAGUGGGAAACGAUGUGGGAAGGCCCAGACAGCCAGGAUGUUGGCUUAGAAGCAGCCAUCAUUUAAAGAAAGCGUAAUAGCUCACUGGUCGAGUCGGCCUGCGCGGAAGAUGUAACGGGGCUAAACCAUGCACCGAAGCUGCGGCAGCGACGCUUAUGCGUUGUUGGGUAGGGGAGCGUUCUGUAAGCCUGCGAAGGUGUGCUGUGAGGCAUGCUGGAGGUAUCAGAAGUGCGAAUGCUGACAUAAGUAACGAUAAAGCGGGUGAAAAGCCCGCUCGCCGGAAGACCAAGGGUUCCUGUCCAACGUUAAUCGGGGCAGGGUGAGUCGACCCCUAAGGCGAGGCCGAAAGGCGUAGUCGAUGGGAAACAGGUUAAUAUUCCUGUACUUGGUGUUACUGCGAAGGGGGGACGGAGAAGGCUAUGUUGGCCGGGCGACGGUUGUCCCGGUUUAAGCGUGUAGGCUGGUUUUCCAGGCAAAUCCGGAAAAUCAAGGCUGAGGCGUGAUGACGAGGCACUACGGUGCUGAAGCAACAAAUGCCCUGCUUCCAGGAAAAGCCUCUAAGCAUCAGGUAACAUCAAAUCGUACCCCAAACCGACACAGGUGGUCAGGUAGAGAAUACCAAGGCGCUUGAGAGAACUCGGGUGAAGGAACUAGGCAAAAUGGUGCCGUAACUUCGGGAGAAGGCACGCUGAUAUGUAGGUGAAGCGACUUGCUCGUGGAGCUGAAAUCAGUCGAAGAUACCAGCUGGCUGCAACUGUUUAUUAAAAACACAGCACUGUGCAAACACGAAAGUGGACGUAUACGGUGUGACGCCUGCCCGGUGCCGGAAGGUUAAUUGAUGGGGUCAGCGCAAGCGAAGCUCUUGAUCGAAGCCCCGGUAAACGGCGGCCGUAACUAUAACGGUCCUAAGGUAGCGAAAUUCCUUGUCGGGUAAGUUCCGACCUGCACGAAUGGCGUAAUGAUGGCCAGGCUGUCUCCACCCGAGACUCAGUGAAAUUGAACUCGCUGUGAAGAUGCAGUGUACCCGCGGCAAGACGGAAAGACCCCGUGAACCUUUACUAUAGCUUGACACUGAACAUUGAGCCUUGAUGUGUAGGAUAGGUGGGAGGCUUGGAAGUGUGGACGCCAGUCUGCAUGGAGCCGACCUUGAAAUACCACCCUUUAAUGUUUGAUGUUCUAACGUUGACCCGUAAUCCGGGUUGCGGACAGUGUCUGGUGGGUAGUUUGACUGGGGCGGUCUCCUCCUAAAGAGUAACGGAGGAGCACGAAGGUUGGCUAAUCCUGGUCGGACAUCAGGAGGUUAGUGCAAUGGCAUAAGCCAGCUUGACUGCGAGCGUGACGGCGCGAGCAGGUGCGAAAGCAGGUCAUAGUGAUCCGGUGGUUCUGAAUGGAAGGGCCAUCGCUCAACGGAUAAAAGGUACUCCGGGGAUAACAGGCUGAUACCGCCCAAGAGUUCAUAUCGACGGCGGUGUUUGGCACCUCGAUGUCGGCUCAUCACAUCCUGGGGCUGAAGUAGGUCCCAAGGGUAUGGCUGUUCGCCAUUUAAAGUGGUACGCGAGCUGGGUUUAGAACGUCGUGAGACAGUUCGGUCCCUAUCUGCCGUGGGCGCUGGAGAACUGAGGGGGGCUGCUCCUAGUACGAGAGGACCGGAGUGGACGCAUCACUGGUGUUCGGGUUGUCAUGCCAAUGGCACUGCCCGGUAGCUAAAUGCGGAAGAGAUAAGUGCUGAAAGCAUCUAAGCACGAAACUUGCCCCGAGAUGAGUUCUCCCUGACCCUUUAAGGGUCCUGAAGGAACGUUGAAGACGACGACGUUGAUAGGCCGGGUGUGUAAGCGCAGCGAUGCGUUGAGCUAACCGGUACUAAUGAAC
This 2509-nucleotide ribosomal RNA is filed under the name Escherichia coli. RNAcentral's name for it is "partial 23S ribosomal RNA". It matches the Rfam family "Bacterial large subunit ribosomal RNA", at positions 419 to 2909 of the family's 2925-position model. The record is from RNAcentral. Lineage: Bacteria; Pseudomonadati; Pseudomonadota; Gammaproteobacteria; Enterobacterales; Enterobacteriaceae.